UGGUAACGCUUGAAGGUUCAUACGGCGCCACAGUGCAAUUUCCAAUGGAAAUAAGUCAAAUUUUCGAACAUAUAAAAUGAAAAAAGUAAUGAGAUUUACGAAAAAUGGGGACAUUGGUGGUAUUAUUUUCAAUGUUUUUUUACUGAUUUGCAUUGAAUUGGCGUGAGGGGAGGUGAUGAGAUUUAACUGAUUUAAGCUCCGCGCGCGGUGACCGGUAGCCGAUGACGCGCAAGUGUUGUGAUAGCAGUGAUCAAGGCUGAUUGACACGGUACCAAAUGUCCGGUUGGUGGUAACAAUGGCUAAAAACACUCCUGGUUUUGCUCUGAAAAACUCUGAUCUCUUCGACUUAUGGACACGGGCAUCGAGAAAGGAGUGAGUUACAACAAUUGAGGAGAAACUCCGAGAACUAUUCGCAAACAAACGUGUCUCAGACAAAAAUUGGACAAAAUGUCAUGUAUUUUUUAAGAAUUUUUCGUUUUUAUCUUUCUUUUUUCUCUUGUCUCUUGUGAAGAUUAAUUUUGCUGUAAAUUUUCGGUGAUAUUUUACUGUGCUGAAUUUUUUAUUUUUUGAAAUGCCUUUUCCUUUUUAUUAAAGAUUUGUAAUAUGACCAAA
This is a non-coding RNA of Bemisia tabaci, 612 nucleotides long. NCBI's taxonomy places the organism in Eukaryota, Metazoa, Arthropoda, Insecta, Hemiptera, Aleyrodidae. The record is from RefSeq and is a predicted model, not a curated record.